GCUCCCCUCCGACACCUCGGCAACGCUGACUUCUCACCCCUUUGAGCCGCUUGACCAGGGCACUCUUCUGCCCGCUCUUGGCUAGGCCUCGCUGCUCCAGUGCGGCCUUCAGGUCGGUCACCCGCAGAGCCUGAAGAGGCUUCCCGUCCAGAGUCACCUCCUCCAGCUCCGCCAUCUUGCGUGAGGUACUCGGGUCCGUCCCGACGGCUUCGGGCAUCUUCGGUAAUUUCCGCCAACGCCCUUCGAACGUACCGAACUGGCCCCGCCCACUGCCAUAGUCUACCCCUCUAUUACCGCUCAGAAUUCCCCGGGUUCCUCCGGAACUGUUCGGUCGUUUCCGUCUCCACAUCGGUACCAAUCGGCUUUUUCCAUCUGCCUAGCGGCCGGCUCCUCCCAUUUUACUUUCAGGAUGCCACUGGAAUCGUCUUCCACAUCAGUGCCACCCUGCUUCCCUUCUGUGUUACCCUCAGUGCCUGAUGACAUUGCCAACUCUUCCCCCCCUCCAAUGUCUUACAUCACUUCCCAGGAGAUGAAGUGUGUUCUUCACUGGUUUGCCAGUUGGUCAGGUCCCCAGCGGGAACGUUUUCUCCAAGACCUGGUCGCU
Molecule: long non-coding RNA, 604 nt
Filed under: Rattus norvegicus (Norway rat)
Lineage: Eukaryota; Metazoa; Chordata; Mammalia; Rodentia; Muridae
Description: long non-coding RNA NONRATT010407
Source: RNAcentral